Molecule: ribosomal RNA, 253 nt
Filed under: uncultured bacterium
Lineage: Bacteria
Description: partial 16S ribosomal RNA
Rfam family: Bacterial small subunit ribosomal RNA
Source: RNAcentral
CACGUAGGGUGCGAGCGUUGUCCGGAAUUAUUGGGCGUAAAGCGCGUGUAGGCGGCUCGGUAAGUCUGCUGUGAAAGUCCAGGGCUCAACCCUGGAAUGCCGGUGGAUACUGGCGAGCUCGAGUCCGGAAGAGGCGAGUGGAAUUCCUGGUGUAGCGGUGAAAUGCGCAGAUAUCAGGAGGAACACCAAUGGCGAAGGCAGCUCGCUGGGACGGUACUGACGCUGAGACGCGAAAGCGUGGGGAGCAAACAGG